RNAcentral lists this ribosomal RNA (492 nucleotides) under uncultured bacterium. Its description in RNAcentral is "partial 16S ribosomal RNA". It matches the Rfam family "Bacterial small subunit ribosomal RNA", at positions 29 to 507 of the family's 1533-position model. The record is from RNAcentral.
AGUGAACGCUGGCGGUAGGCCUAACACAUGCAAGUCGAACGGCAGCACAGUAAGAGCUUGCUCUUACGGGUGGCGAGUGGCGGACGGGUGAGGAAUACAUCGGAAUCUACUUUUUCGUGGGGGAGAACGUAGGGAAACUUACGCUAAUACCGCAUACGACCUACGGGUGAAAGCAGGGGAUCUUCGGACCUUGCGCGAUUGAAUGAGCCGAUGUCGGAUUAGCUAGUUGGCGGGGUAAAGGCCCACCAAGGCGACGAUCCGUAGCUGGUCUGAGAGGAUGAUCAGCCACACUGGAACUGAGCCACGGUCCAGACUCCUACGGGAGGCAGCAGUGGGGAAUAUUGGACAAUGGGCGCAAGCCUGAUCCAGCCAUACCGCGUGGGUGAAGAAGGCCUUCGGGUUGUAAAGCCCUUUUGUCGGGAAAGAAAAGCAGCAGGUUAAUACCCCGCUGUUCUGACGGUACCCAAAGAAUAAGCACCGGCUAACUUCGUG